GACGAACGCUGGCGGCGUGCUUAACACAUGCAAGUCGAACGGAAAGGCCCUGCUUUUGUGGGGUGCUCGAGUGGCGAACGGGUGAGUAACACGUGAGUAACCUGCCCUUGACUUUGGGAUGACUUCAGGAAACUGGGGCUAAUACCGGAUAGGAGCUCCUGCUGCAUGGUGGGGGUUGGAAAGUUUCGGCGGUUGGGGAUGGACUCGCGGCUUAUCAGCUUGUUGGUGGGGUAGUGGCUUACCAAGGCUUUGACGGGUAGCCGGCCUGAGAGGGUGACCGGCCACAUUGGGACUGAGAUACGGCCCAGACUCCUACGGGAGGCAGCAGUGGGGAAUAUUGCACAAUGGGCGGAGGCCUGAUGCAGCAACGCCGCGUGCGGGAUGACGGCCUUCGGGUUGUAAACCGCUUUCGCCUGUGACGAAGCGUGAGUGACGGUAAUGGGUAAAGAAGCACCGGCUAACUACGUG
Molecule: ribosomal RNA, 468 nt
Filed under: uncultured bacterium
Lineage: Bacteria
Description: partial 16S ribosomal RNA
Rfam family: Bacterial small subunit ribosomal RNA
Source: RNAcentral